CCUGUCAAUACUAAGAGGAAUAGUACGACACUCCGUCGAAGCAUGCCGAGACGCAAACAAGAUCGGCCGAAGAGGAUGAAAUGUUAGCUUCACCCGCAGAAUCGACAAAUUUGACAAUUUGUUUCGAGCAACAUAGGAACUUUUGAGGUCUAUACUAGCGAGUAAU
RNAcentral lists this unclassified non-coding RNA (166 nucleotides) under Limulus polyphemus (Atlantic horseshoe crab). RNAcentral's name for it is "protein tiptop-like, transcript variant X1". Lineage: Eukaryota; Metazoa; Arthropoda; Merostomata; Xiphosura; Limulidae. The record is from RNAcentral.